CCCGUGUGUGCCGUUGGCGAGUCUCAGAGAGUUUGACUCCUGGCUACGAGGACGAACGCUGGCGGCGUGCUUAACACAUGCAAGUCGAACGGAAAGGCCCUGCUUUUGUGGGGUGCUCGAGUGGCGAACGGGUGAGUAACACGUGAGUAACCUGCCCUUGACUUUGGGAUAACUUCAGGAAACUGGGGCUAAUACCGGAUAGGAGCUCCUGCUGCAUGGUGGGGGUUGGAAAGUUUCGGCGGUUGGGGAUGGACUCGCGGCUUAUCAGCUUGUUGGUGGGGUAGUGGCUUACCAAGGCUUUGACGGGUAGCCGGCCUGAGAGGGUGACCGGCCACAUUGGGACUGAGAUGCGGCCCAGACUCCUACGGGAGGCAGCAGUGGGGAAUAUUGCACAAUGGGCGGAAGCCUGAUGCAGCAACGCCGCGUGCGGGAUGACGGCCUUCGGGUUGUAAACCGCUUUCGCCUGUGACGAAGCGUGAGUGACGGUAAUGGGUAAAGAAGCACCGGCUAACUACGUG
Molecule: ribosomal RNA, 518 nt
Filed under: uncultured Propionibacterium sp.
Lineage: Bacteria; Bacillati; Actinomycetota; Actinomycetes; Propionibacteriales; Propionibacteriaceae
Description: bacterial SSU rRNA
Rfam family: Bacterial small subunit ribosomal RNA
Source: RNAcentral